Canis lupus familiaris (dog) is the source of this 168-nucleotide non-coding RNA. The record is from Rfam. Lineage: Eukaryota; Metazoa; Chordata; Mammalia; Carnivora; Canidae.
AUACUUACCUGACAGGGGAAAUACCAUAAUCAUGAAGGUGGUAUUCCCAGGGUAAUAGAGGGUUAUCUAUUACACUCUGUUUGUGCAGACCCCUGUGAUUUCCCCAAAUGUGGGAAACUGGACUGCAGAAUUUGUGAUAGUGGGGGACUGCAUUCACGGUCUCCCCUG